GUGGUUUUAGACAUACUUGUCAGUUUCUGUUGAAUUUGAGAAUGCUUCAAAGAAAGUAAUGACCUAUCUCUGUUGGGCAAGUCAGGCCUGGAAAGACUUUGAUUUAGGGCACUAAGUUCAUUUUUUAGGCGCUGUAUUUCACGCAUAUUCUGUAUGUCAGCCUUCAUAGCAGCAUCCAACUUGUCGACAUGUUGGGUAGCAUUCUUGAAAUCACAGAUGCGGAGUUGAUAGAAUAUGUGAAGGAGUUCGUUGUAAAAGAGCAAACCUAAGCAUUGUUCUCUUCUUUCAGAGCCCAAGGAAUCCCAAAGCACAUCACAUCUAUUAAGAGCAGACUGAACUAAAUUAUCAUCACACCAUUGCAUGAGGUGCACAUGUAGAACAGAAGUUGCAAAGAACAUCUGUAAUUCC
RNAcentral lists this unclassified non-coding RNA (408 nucleotides) under Hevea brasiliensis (rubber tree). Lineage: Eukaryota; Viridiplantae; Streptophyta; Magnoliopsida; Malpighiales; Euphorbiaceae. The record is from RNAcentral.